GCAGUCGAACGGUAACGCGGGGCAACCUGGCGACGAGUGGCGAACGGGUGAGUAAUGCAUCGGAACGUGCCCAGAAGUGGGGGAUAGCCCGGCGAAAGCCGGAUUAAUACCGCAUGAGACCUGAGGGUGAAAGCGGGGGAUCGCAAGACCUCGCGCUUUUGGAGCGGCCGAUGUCAGAUUAGCUAGUUGGUGGGGUAAAGGCCUACCAAGGCGACGAUCUGUAGCUGGUCUGAGAGGACGACCAGCCACACUGGGACUGAGACACGGCCCAGACUCCUACGGGAGGCAGCAGUGGGGAAUUUUGGACAAUGGGCGCAAGCCUGAUCCAGCCAUGCCGCGUGCGGGAAGAAGGCCUUCGGGUUGUAAACCGCUUUUGUCAGGGAAGAAACGCUCUGGGUUAAUACCCUGGGGUAAUGACGGUACCUGAAGAAUAAGCACCGGCUAACUACGUGCCAGCAGCCGCGGUAAUACGUAGGGUGCAAGCGUUAAUCGGAAUUACUGGGCGUAAAGCGUGCGCAGGCGGUUAUGCAAGACAGAUGUGAAAUCCCCGGGCUCAACCUGGGAACUGCAUUUUGUGACUGCAUGGCUAGAGUGCGGCA
RNAcentral lists this ribosomal RNA (599 nucleotides) under uncultured Leptothrix sp. Its description in RNAcentral is "bacterial SSU rRNA". It matches the Rfam family "Bacterial small subunit ribosomal RNA", at positions 57 to 653 of the family's 1533-position model. Lineage: Bacteria; Pseudomonadati; Pseudomonadota; Betaproteobacteria; Burkholderiales; Sphaerotilaceae. The record is from RNAcentral.